UUUAUUGAAAUGAUGAGUUUGUUCAUGUCUCUUCUCUGACCAAUUACUGGAGAGAAUGUAAAAAAAAAACUCUGAUCACUGAA
Molecule: small nucleolar RNA, 83 nt
Filed under: Astyanax mexicanus (Mexican tetra)
Lineage: Eukaryota; Metazoa; Chordata; Actinopteri; Characiformes; Acestrorhamphidae
Description: Small nucleolar RNA SNORD111 (ENSAMXG00005016217.1)
Rfam family: Small nucleolar RNA SNORD111
About the family: The members of this family belong to the C/D class of snoRNAs which contain the C (UGAUGA) and D (CUGA) box motifs. Most of the members of the box C/D family function in directing site-specific 2'-O-methylation of substrate RNAs. HBII-82 (SNORD111) is predicted to guide the 2'O-ribose methylation of 28S rRNA G3923.
Source: RNAcentral